Molecule: ribosomal RNA, 492 nt
Filed under: uncultured bacterium
Lineage: Bacteria
Description: partial 16S ribosomal RNA
Rfam family: Bacterial small subunit ribosomal RNA
Source: RNAcentral
AGUGAACGCUGGCGGUAGGCCUAACACAUGCAAGUCGAACGGCAGCACAGUAAGAGCUUGCUCUUACGGGUGGCGAGUGGCGGACGGGUGAGGAAUACAUCGGAAUCUACUUUUUCGUGGGGGAUAACGUAGGGAAACUUACGCUAAUACCGCAUACGACCUACGGGUGAAAGCAGGGGAUCUUCGGACCUUGCGCGAUUGAAUGAGCCGAUGUCGGAUUAGCUAGUUGGCGGGGUAAAGGCCCACCAAGGCGACGAUCCCUAGCUGGUCUGAGAGGAUGACCAGCGACAGUGGAACGGAGAAAAGGUAAAGACGCCGACGGGAGCAAGAAGUGGGGAAUAUUGGACAGUGGGCGCGAGCCUGAUGCAGCCAUGCCGCGUGUAUGAAGAAGACCGGAGGGUUGUAAAGUACUUGCUGCGGGGAGGAAGGGAGUAAAGUCAAUACCUUUUAUCAUUGACGUGGCCGGCAGAAGAAGCACCGGCUAACUCCGUG